This 470-nucleotide ribosomal RNA is filed under the name uncultured Alphaproteobacteria bacterium. Its description in RNAcentral is "bacterial SSU rRNA". It matches the Rfam family "Bacterial small subunit ribosomal RNA", at positions 9 to 524 of the family's 1533-position model. Lineage: Bacteria; Pseudomonadati; Pseudomonadota; Alphaproteobacteria. The record is from RNAcentral.
GAGUUUGAUCGUGGCUCAGAACGAACGCUGGCGGCAUGCCUAACACAUGCAAGUCGAACGAGACCUUCGGGUCUAGUGGCGCACGGGUGCGUAACGCGUGGGAAUCUGCCCUUGGGUUCGGAAUAACAGUUAGAAAUGACUGCUAAUACCGGAUGAUGACUUCGGUCCAAAGAUUUAUCGCCCAGGGAUGAGCCCGCGUCGGAUUAGCUUGUUGGUGAGGUAAAAGCUCACCAAGGCGACGAUCCGUAGCUGGUCUGAGAGGAUGAUCAGCCACACUGGGACUGAGACACGGCCCAGACUCCUACGGGAGGCAGCAGUGGGGAAUAUUGGACAAUGGGCGGAAGCCUGAUCCAGCAAUGCCGCGUGAGUGAUGAAGGCCUUAGGGUUGUAAAGCUCUUUUUACCCGGGAAGAUAAUGACUGUACCGGGAGAAUAAGCUCCGGCUAACUCCGUGCCAGCAGCCGCCGUAAC